UGGCAAUAAGGAGUUCAUGAUCUGAGCCACUGUCAUCUCCCAGUCUUGUUUUUGCUGACUGUAUAGAGCUUCUCCAUCUUCAGAUGCAAAGAAUAUAAUCAAUCUGAUUUUGGUAUUGACCAUCUGGGGCCGUCCAUGGGUAGAGUCAUCUCUCGUGUUUUUGGAAGAGGGUGUUUGCUCUGUCUAGUGCAUUA
Cervus elaphus (red deer) is the source of this 194-nucleotide long non-coding RNA. RefSeq lists it as uncharacterized. The record is from RefSeq and is a predicted model, not a curated record. The transcript is spliced from 5 exons. Lineage: Eukaryota; Metazoa; Chordata; Mammalia; Artiodactyla; Cervidae.